AGUGUAGAUUCAGAGUUUGAUCCUGGCUCAGGGUGAGCGCUGGCGGCGUGGAUGAGGCAUGCAAGUCGAAUGAAUUAGAUUCAUGGCAGACGAGGUAGGAACACGUAGGUACGUACCCCAAAGUCACGGAUAACCCGGAGAAAUUCGGAAUAAUACGUGAUAGUCUCGCGAGAGUAAAGAUUUAUCGCUUUGGGAACGGCCUGCGUUCUAUCAGCUUGUUGGUAAGGUAACGGCUUACCAAGGCUACGACGGAUAGGGGAGGUGAGAGCCUGACCCCCACCGAUGGAACUGCGACACGGUCCAU
RNAcentral lists this ribosomal RNA (304 nucleotides) under uncultured bacterium. RNAcentral's name for it is "partial 16S ribosomal RNA". It matches the Rfam family "Bacterial small subunit ribosomal RNA", at positions 1 to 334 of the family's 1533-position model. The record is from RNAcentral.